GAUUCACACCGUGACAAAAACCUCUGAGCUUCACUUCUGCUUUAAAGCUGCUUCAGAAAGGAGAGAAGAUGUGCAUUCACUCAAGCUGAACCAGGCUCUCUCAGCCAUAGAGCCAUUUAAGCAACGUUAGCAAAUAAAAGUCUCCAGUUGCCAAAGCUGGACAACUACAAGCAGCCAAAUCAAAAAUAUCAAUCAGCAAGAAGUCACCAAAAAACAACAGUCAGUGAAGUGUUUGUAUAUUUGGCAUCUGUAAUAAUAGAAGCAUUCACCGUGUCUAACUCAAUCCAGCCAGUCGACUGUUUAGGCACUUCACUUUGUACAUGCUAUAUCUUCCCCAAAAAAGAACAUAAAUGCCUACAUGCUGAGCACAUGGAAAUUAUUCAUUCUUCUGAAGCAAAACCUACCCCAUUACAUUUAUAUUUAAGGCAUUCAGCAGGUGCUCUUGUCCAGAGCAACUUAAACUGCUUGCAUCCUUUGCAUACAAUUCAUUUGUAAGGCGGAAUAUUUACUGGAGCAAUUUAGGCUAAGUGCCUUGUUCAAGGAAACAACAGUUAUUUCCCCCCCGGGAAUCCAACCUAUAACUCUGGAGUCACACGCCCAUUUUCCUAAUCAUUAUGUGACGCUGCCCCCACGUCAUGCAAUCUCUGUCUCCUUACGAUGUUUAAAGAUCAUUGAUAUAAAUAUGCAUUACCCAGGGUACACAAUGCUCACACUAAUUACCUUUUACAACAAUGAUGGUUUAAGAUGUAAUAUGAACAUGUGAUUUAAUUACUGAGGUGCUGAUAUUAUUAAUGGCUUCAUUAAUUAUAUUAAUAAAACAAUGUCAAUAUUUCUUCUGACUUCAGGUUCUGACUACAGAAUGUUCACACACUCCUAUUGACUGAAUAGGAAUUGAAUAACAUUUCACUUAUGUGCAAGAUGUGCAUAUCUCCAAUAUGACUAAUUGUAUGAAAUCUGCAGCGAGCAGCUGACUGGCUGAACCCUAGCUUUAGGGAAAUUGUGAUUGGCUGAGUUCAGAGGCUCGUCCCUUCACAUUUUCCUUUAUAAGCAAUGCUGUAGUCUCUCCUCUCCUCACACUCCAACCUGCUCAUCUCUCAGCUGGACAGUAAGGGCUGUUCAUUCCACACACUGACAACAUGCUGGGGACCCUCUGCACUCUCAUCGCUGUGCUCUCAUGUGUCAGUGGCCAGAAGGUUUUGACACAGAAACCCUCAGUGCUGAGUGUGAAUAAACAGCAGAAAGCCACAAUGGACUGUAAUAUAGCCAGAGAUGA
This is a long non-coding RNA of Anguilla rostrata (American eel), 1273 nucleotides long. RefSeq lists it as uncharacterized. The transcript has 2 exons. Lineage: Eukaryota; Metazoa; Chordata; Actinopteri; Anguilliformes; Anguillidae. The record is from RefSeq and is a predicted model, not a curated record.